This 274-nucleotide ribosomal RNA is filed under the name uncultured bacterium. RNAcentral describes it as "partial 16S ribosomal RNA". It matches the Rfam family "Bacterial small subunit ribosomal RNA", at positions 523 to 796 of the family's 1533-position model. The record is from RNAcentral.
AUACGGAGGGUGCAAGCGUUAUUCGGAAUCACUGGGCGUAAAGGACGCGUAGGCGGGUUGGCAAGUCAGAUGUGAAAUCCUACAGCUUAACUGUAGAACUGCAUUUGAAACUGCUAACCUAGAGUAUGGGAGGGGGAGAUGGAAUUAGUGGUGUAAGGGUAAAAUCCGUAGAUAUCACUAGGAAUACCGAAAGCGAAGGCGAUCUCCUGGAACAUACCUGACGCUAAGGCGUGAAAGCGUGGGGAGCAAACAGGAUUAGAAACCCCAGUAGUCC